GUGGGAGGGGGCUUGUUCCCGAUGGCGGAGUGUCAGUCGACAGCUAAUUGACUGAUUUACCGUCAUCGGGAGCAAGCCCCCUCCCAC
This 87-nucleotide unclassified non-coding RNA is filed under the name Pseudomonas fluorescens. Lineage: Bacteria; Pseudomonadati; Pseudomonadota; Gammaproteobacteria; Pseudomonadales; Pseudomonadaceae. The record is from RNAcentral.